UUCCAGUUGACGAGUCCCAAAUAGGACGAAACGCGAGUCAAACUGGAA
This 48-nucleotide non-coding RNA is filed under the name Schistosoma margrebowiei. Lineage: Eukaryota; Metazoa; Platyhelminthes; Trematoda; Strigeidida; Schistosomatidae. The record is from RNAcentral.